CCUACGGGAGGCAGCAGUGAGGAAUAUUGGGCAAUGGGCGCGAGCCUGAACCAGCCAAGUCGCGUGAAGGAUGAAGGCUCUAUGGUUUGUAAACUUCUUUUAUAGGGGCAUAAAGUGAGGCACGUGUUCCUUUUUGUAUGUACCAUAUGAAUAAGCAUCGGCUAACUCCGUGCCAGCAGCCGCGGUAAUACGGAGGAUGCGAGCGUUAUCCGGAUUUAUUGGGUGUAAAGGGAGCGUAGGUGGGAAAUUAAGUCAGCUGUGAAAGUUUGUGGCUCAACCAUAAAAUUGCCUUUGAAACUGGUUGACUUGAGUACAGUUGAGGUAGGCGGAAUUCGUGGUGUAGCGGUGAAAUGCGUAGAUAUCACGAAGAACUCCGAUGGCGAAGGCAGCUUACUAAACUGCAACUGACACUGAGGCGCGAAAGCGUGGGGAUCAAACAGGAUUAGAUACCCUAGUAGUC
RNAcentral lists this ribosomal RNA (460 nucleotides) under uncultured bacterium. RNAcentral's name for it is "partial 16S ribosomal RNA". It matches the Rfam family "Bacterial small subunit ribosomal RNA", at positions 338 to 795 of the family's 1533-position model. The record is from RNAcentral.